ACGAGUCUGUAAUAUAGACAAAUUUAUGUAAGUCAUUUAGUAAAGCCACUCAAUAAAAGAAAUAGGUUAAUGUCAAUUAUAAACGAAUAUCUUUCUUAAAUACUUAUUCAUAAAUACAUGCUACAAACAGGCUCUUUAUCCCCAUGAAUGUUUUUUCUUAAGUAAGGAAUAAUAAAUGUCUAACAAAAUCACUGGCUUAGUAAAAUGGUUUGAUUCAAGUAAAGGCUUUGGUUUCAUUACUCCAAGCGAUGGAAGCAAAGAUGUGUUUGUUCAUUUUUCUGCCAUUCAAAGCAACAACUUCAAAACUCUUGAUGAAGGCCAACGCGUAGAAUUCACCAUUGAGCAGGGUCAGAAAGGUCCAUCUGCUGCUAACGUAGUUAGCCUGUAAAUACCAUAAUAGAUCCCAAUGAAAUGUCGGCGAAACACUAAGCAAGUCGCCGUCGUUUUGU
RNAcentral lists this small RNA (449 nucleotides) under Sodalis endosymbiont of Henestaris halophilus. RNAcentral's name for it is "cspA". It matches the Rfam family "cspA thermoregulator". The record is from RNAcentral. Lineage: Bacteria; Pseudomonadati; Pseudomonadota; Gammaproteobacteria; Enterobacterales; Bruguierivoracaceae.